This 468-nucleotide ribosomal RNA is filed under the name uncultured bacterium. Its description in RNAcentral is "partial 16S ribosomal RNA". It matches the Rfam family "Bacterial small subunit ribosomal RNA", at positions 28 to 507 of the family's 1533-position model. The record is from RNAcentral.
GACGAACGCUGGCGGCGUGCUUAACACAUGCAAGUCGAACGGAAAGGCCCUGCUUUUGUAGGGUGCUCGAGUGGCGAACGGGUGAGUAACACGUGAGUAACCUGCCCUUGACUUUGGGAUAACUUCAGGAAACUGGGGCUAAUACCGGAUAGGAGCUCCUGCUGCAUGGUGGGGGUUGGAAAGUUUCGGCGGUUGGGGAUGGACUCGCGGCUUAUCAGCUUGUUGGUGGGGUAGUGGCUUACCAAGGCUUUGACGGGUAGCCGGCCUGAGAGGGUGACCGGCCACAUUGGGACUGAGAUACGGCCCAGACUCCUACGGGAGGCAGCAGUGGGGAAUAUUGCACAAUGGGCGGAAGCCUGAUGCAGCAACGCCGCGUGCGGGAUGACGGCCUUCGGGUUGUAAACCGCUUUCGCCUGUGACGAAGCGUGAGCGACGGUAAUGGGUAAAGAAGCACCGGCUAACUACGUG